GCAGCCUGCAACUCGGCUGCAUGAAGCUGGAAUCGCUAGUAAUCGCGGAUCAGAAUGCCGCGGUGAAUACGUUCCCGGGUCUUGUACACACCGCCCGUCACACCAUGGGAGUCGGGAAUGCCCGAAGUCAGUGACCCAACCGGAAAGGGGGGAGCUGCCGAAGGCAGGCCUGGUAACUGGGGUGAAGUCGUAACAAGGUAAC
This 202-nucleotide ribosomal RNA is filed under the name uncultured bacterium. RNAcentral's name for it is "partial 16S ribosomal RNA". It matches the Rfam family "Bacterial small subunit ribosomal RNA", at positions 1300 to 1500 of the family's 1533-position model. The record is from RNAcentral.